AGGAUGAACGCUGGCGGCGUGCUUAACACAUGCAAGUCAAGGGGGCCCAGCAAUGGGCAACCGGCGAACGGGUGCGUAACACGUGAGCAACCUACCGAAAUGUGGGGGAUAGCCGGCCCCAACGGCCGGGUAAUACCGCAUACGCUCGAGACCAGGCAUUUGGACUCGAGGAAAUUUACGGAGCAUUUCGAGGGGCUCGCGGCCUAUCAGCUAGUUGGUGAGGUACGCUCACCAAGGCUACGACGGGUAGCUGGUCUAGAGAGGAUGGCCAGCCACAUUGGGACUGAGAUACGGCCCAGACUCCGUACGGGAGCAGCAGGU
Molecule: ribosomal RNA, 321 nt
Filed under: uncultured soil bacterium
Lineage: Bacteria
Description: bacterial SSU rRNA
Rfam family: Bacterial small subunit ribosomal RNA
Source: RNAcentral